ACCUCAAACCCCUACUUAAAAUAAAUUUUAAAAAAUGCAACAGACUUCAGUACAACUUUCAGAAGUAACAUUUCUUAAAAUCUGGAAAGAAUUCAAUUGUAGACGCUUUAGUCACUAUUCAAAAUUGACAUGUAAGUUGCAAUUUGCAACAGCACUCUUAUCAACUUCGCACCUAAAUACAAGCACUGCCAAAACCGCAACUAUUUCAGCUCACACCUUUGACAGACUGCCUGGUAUGUGCGUCUUGAAGUAUCUUGUUAUUUUGCUUUCUUAUAAUGAACUCUUAGCACACCUCCUCUUCCAAUCCCCCACACACCCGCACAAAAAAAAAUACUAAUAAAAAAAUCAUCUGAAUUUCAGUGAAGCAUGACCUGUGUCGCUCAAAUGCUUAUGUAAUUUAUUCCUUGAUUCAAAUUCCUCUCCACAUUUCUCACAUGCAUUGCCAGAAUUAUUUGCUGCUGCCUUUCCUUUCUUUCCUUUGGACAAGUUUUUCGUUUUGUUAUUUGAUUCCUUCUUUGUGGCCCCUUUAUUGUUGACAGGAUGAUAUGAAUUCUUAUGAUUCUUCCUCGCAUUAUCGUUGUCGUUACCAGCAUUCUCAUCUUCUACAAAUAAAUGAGAAGGGGACUCCUUCGUUUGCCUGUCAUCAUGCCCAUUAAUUUCACCAUCUGGACUUCUUUCCUCAAAAUCACCCUUCUCAGAAACUCCGUAGUCAUUCUUACCCCUCUCUUUCUUGCCUCUCCUCCUCCUACUUUUCAGGUUGUUAUAUUCCAUAACUUCCAACUCAUUCACAUCUUCGGCACGAAUUUCCAUUGGAAAAUUCUCACUCACAUGCCUUGAACCCCGACUUUUCCUACUCUUGUGCCCAGUUACCAUUGCUUCAAGUACACUCAUUUCCCCAUCACCAUCCUCAACCUCAUCAUCAUCAACNNNNNNNNNNGACAUAUCAAAUCCUUCCACCUCAUCACCGUCCCCAACAUCAAAGAACCCAUCUUCCUCAUCUCUCAAUUCUGCAUUCUCAACCCCAUUCUCUUCCUCCCUUAUCCUGAAACCCUCUCUAAACCUCGCAUCUACCUCAUCAACAUUGUUAACCAUUUCUUCAUUGUUUCCCAUUUCUUCAUUGUUUCCCUGUUCAUCCUCCUCAAAAUCUUCUAGUGUCUCUUCUUCAUCAUCCCCAAAUGACUCCCUGAACUCAGCCACCUUCUCCUUAUGCUUCUUCGAUUGCUCAUGAUUCUUCCAUUGCUUCUCACUCUUAAACUUUUUUCCACACACCACGCAAUACAACUCUUUCC
RNAcentral lists this unclassified non-coding RNA (1289 nucleotides) under Hevea brasiliensis (rubber tree). Lineage: Eukaryota; Viridiplantae; Streptophyta; Magnoliopsida; Malpighiales; Euphorbiaceae. The record is from RNAcentral.